Molecule: signal recognition particle RNA, 296 nt
Filed under: Saimiri boliviensis boliviensis (Bolivian squirrel monkey)
Lineage: Eukaryota; Metazoa; Chordata; Mammalia; Primates; Cebidae
Description: Metazoan signal recognition particle RNA (ENSSBOG00000008306.1)
Rfam family: Metazoan signal recognition particle RNA
About the family: The signal recognition particle (SRP) is a universally conserved ribonucleoprotein. It is involved in the co-translational targeting of proteins to membranes. The eukaryotic SRP consists of a 300-nucleotide 7S RNA and six proteins: SRPs 72, 68, 54, 19, 14, and 9.
Source: RNAcentral
GCCAGCGCAGUGGCGAGAGCCUGAGUCCCAGCUACUCGGAAGGCUGAGGCGGGAGGAUCACUUGAGCCCUGGAGUUCUGGGCUGUAGUGCACUAUGCCGAUCGAGUGUCCGCACUAAGUUUGGCAUCAAUAUGGUGACCUCCCAGGAGCGGGGGACCACCAGGUUCCCUAAGGAGGGGUGUAUCAGCCCCGGUCCCAAACAGAGAAGGUCAAAACUCCAGUGCUGAUCAGUAGUGCAAUCGUGCCUGUGUAUAGCCACUGCACUCCAGCCUGGGCAACAUAGGACACCCUGUCUCU